AGUCGAGCGGUAGAGGGAAGCUUGCUUCUCUUGAGAGCGGCGGACGGGUGAGUAAUGCCUAGGAAUCUGCCUAGUGGUGGGGGAUAACGUUCGGAAACGGACGCUAAUACCGCAUACGUCCUACGGGAGAAAGCGGGGGACCUUCGGGCCUCGCGCCAUUAGAUGAGCCUAGGUCGGAUUAGCUAGUUGGUGAGGUAAUGGCUCACCAAGGCUACGAUCCGUAACUGGUCUGAGAGGAUGAUCAGUCACACUGGAACUGAGACACGGUCCAGACUCCUACGGGAGGCAGCAGUGGGGAAUAUUGGACAAUGGGCGAAAGCCUGAUCCAGCCAUGCCGCGUGUGUGAAGAAGGUCUUCGGAUUGUAAAGCACUUUAAGUUGGGAGGAAGGGUAGUAACUUAAUACGUUGCUACUUUGACGUUACCGACAGAAUAAGCACCGGCUAACUUCGUGCCAGCAGCCGCGGUAAUACGAAGGGUGCAAGCGUUAAUCGGAAUUACUGGGCGUAAAGCGCGCGUAGGUGGUUCAGUAAGUUGGAUGUGAAAUCCCCGGGCUCAACCUGGGAACUGCAUCCAAAACUGCUGAGCUAGAGUACGGUAGAGGGUAGUGGAAUUUCCUGUGUAGCGGUGAAAUGCGUAGAUAUAGGAAGGAACACCAGUGGCGAAGGCGACUACCUGGACUGAUACUGACACUGAGGUGCGAAAGCGUGGGGAGCAAACAGGAUUAGAUACCCUGGUAGUCCACGCCGUANACGAUGUCAACUAGCCGUUGGGAGUCUUGAACUCUUAGUGGCGCAGCUAACGCAUUAGGUGACCGCCUGGGGAGUACG
This 828-nucleotide ribosomal RNA is filed under the name uncultured Gammaproteobacteria bacterium. RNAcentral's name for it is "bacterial SSU rRNA". It matches the Rfam family "Bacterial small subunit ribosomal RNA", at positions 60 to 884 of the family's 1533-position model. Lineage: Bacteria; Pseudomonadati; Pseudomonadota; Gammaproteobacteria. The record is from RNAcentral.